GCGCUGAUCAAUGACACGGUGGAUGUGCAGGAUGUCACUGUGGAAACUGGAAAAGAGAUCAAGAAACUAAAUGAAGAAUUAGCCAGACAGGAAACAAUAGCAUCAGUCGCAAUUCAACCAAUACCUUCAAGAAACAACCCACUUCUCAUAAAACUUGAAGAGACACUCCAAGAAAUUAAAGUCAGACGCCAAGCUUACUACUCCAACACAUUCAUCGGCAAUCAUGUUCAUAAAUGCCUGAAGGAGGUGAACAUACAAAACCUAACAUCUUCAAUCGUUGAUGAAACGUCUCAUCUCUGUCCAGCCAAGCACAAGGAGGCAGAAUGCAUCG
Molecule: long non-coding RNA, 331 nt
Organism: Patiria miniata (bat star)
Lineage: Eukaryota; Metazoa; Echinodermata; Asteroidea; Valvatida; Asterinidae
Exons: 3
Source: RefSeq, a predicted model, not a curated record